UGGGGAAUUUUGGACAAUGGGGGCAACCCUGAUCCAGCAAUGCCGCGUGUGUGAAGAAGGCCUUCGGGUUGUAAAGCACUUUUGUCCGGAAAGAAAUCCCCUGCUCUAAUACAGCGGGGGGAUGACGGUACCGGAAGAAUAAGCACCGGCUAACUACGUGCCAGCAGCCGCGGUAAUACGUAGGGUGCGAGCGUUAAUCGGAAUUACUGGGCGUAAAGCGUGCGCAGGCGGUUUUGUAAGACAGGCGUGAAAUCCCCGAGCUCAACUUGGGAAUGGCGCUUGUGACUGCAAGGCUAGAGUAUGUCAGAGGGGGGUAGAAUUCCACGUGUAGCAGUGAAAUGCGUAGAGAUGUGGAGGAAUACCGAUGGCGAAGGCAGCCCCCUGGGACGUCACUGACGCUCAUGCACGAAAGCGUGGGGAGCAAACAGG
This 429-nucleotide ribosomal RNA is filed under the name uncultured Cupriavidus sp. RNAcentral describes it as "bacterial SSU rRNA". It matches the Rfam family "Bacterial small subunit ribosomal RNA", at positions 355 to 776 of the family's 1533-position model. Lineage: Bacteria; Pseudomonadati; Pseudomonadota; Betaproteobacteria; Burkholderiales; Burkholderiaceae. The record is from RNAcentral.